This 319-nucleotide unclassified non-coding RNA is filed under the name plant metagenome. RNAcentral describes it as "partial contains 5.8S ribosomal RNA, internal transcribed spacer 2, and large subunit ribosomal RNA". The stretch from base 1 to 104 matches the Rfam family "5.8S ribosomal RNA", at positions 50 to 154 of the family's 154-position model. The record is from RNAcentral.
GAAAUGCGAUAAGUAAUGUGAAUUCAGAAUUCAGUGAAUCAUCGAAUCUUUGAACGCACAUUGCGCCCGCCAGUAUUCUGGCGGGCAUGCCUGUUCGAGCGUCAUUACAACCCUCAGGCCCCCGGGCCUGGCGUUGGGGAUCGGCGGAAGCCCCCUGCGGGCACAACGCCGUCCCCCAAAUACAGUGGCGGUCCCGCCGCAGCUUCCAUUGCGUAGUAGCUAACACCUCGCAACUGGAGAGCGGCGCGGCCACGCCGUAAAACACCCAACUUCUGAAUGUUGACCUCGAAUCAGGUAGGAAUACCCGCUGAACUUAAGC